This 253-nucleotide ribosomal RNA is filed under the name uncultured bacterium. RNAcentral describes it as "partial 16S ribosomal RNA". It matches the Rfam family "Bacterial small subunit ribosomal RNA", at positions 524 to 776 of the family's 1533-position model. The record is from RNAcentral.
UACGUAGGGGGCAAGCGUUGUCCGGAUUUAUUGGGCGUAAAGAGCGUGUAGGCGGACAGACAGGUCAGCUGUGAAAACUCGAGGCUCAACCUCGAGACGUCGGUUGAAACCGUCUGGCUAGAGUCCGGAAGAGGAGAGUGGAAUUCCCGGUGUAGCGGUGAAAUGCGCAGAUAUCGGGAAGAACACCCGUGGCGAAGGCGGCUCUCUGGGACGGUACUGACGCUGAGACGCGAAAGCGUGGGGAGCGAACAGG